RNAcentral lists this transfer-messenger RNA (319 nucleotides) under Alphaproteobacteria bacterium. It matches the Rfam family "Alphaproteobacteria transfer-messenger RNA". From Rfam's summary of the family: Bacterial tmRNA, also known as 10Sa RNA or SsrA, is named for its dual tRNA and mRNA-like properties. Its role is to liberate the mRNA from a stalled ribosome. The record is from RNAcentral. Lineage: Bacteria; Pseudomonadati; Pseudomonadota; Alphaproteobacteria.
CCCCUUUUGAGGGGGUGCGAAAGCGCUUAUAUUGAAGGUGCUGGGCAACCAGCUAUGGCGAUAAACAGCGUAUGGAAUAAGCGUUGCGGACCCGGGGGCAGUACCCGGCGCCUCCACCAGUUUCGCGGAGCCAUCGUCUCCGCGCCGUCAUGGGGGCGAACUAGGAUCGACGCGCGUUGUAAAGGUACGUCUUUUGCCCGGCAUGGUACCGCCGUUAUCGGGCCAAAACCUAAGUGCGAACGAUAACUCUGUCGCACUCGCUGCUUAGUCUCUAAGUAAGCGCGGUCCGGGGGGCACCGGGCAACAGAAGCCCCCCACU